GACGAACGCUGGCGGCGUGCUUAACACAUGCAAGUCGAACGGAAAGGCCCUGCUUUUGUGGGGUGCUCGAUUGGCGAACGGGCGAGUAACACGUGAGUAACCUGCCCUUGACUUUGGGAUAACUUCAGGAAACUGGGGCUCAUACCGGAUAGGAUCUCCUGCUGCAUGGUGUGGGUUGGAAAGUGUCGGCGGUUGGGGAUGGACUCGCGGCUUAUCAGCUUGUUGGUGGGGUAGUGGCUUACCAAGGCUUUGACGGGUAGCCGGCCUGAGAGGGUGACCGGCCACAUUGGGACUGAGAUAGGGACCAGACUCCUACGGGAGGCAGCAGUGGGGAGUAUUGCACAAUGGGCGGAAGCCUGAUGCAGCAACGCCGCGUGCGGGAUGACGGCCUUCGGGUUGUAAACCGCUUUCGCCUGUGACGAAGCGUGAGUGACGGUAAUGGGUAAAGAAGCACCGGCUAACUACGUG
RNAcentral lists this ribosomal RNA (468 nucleotides) under uncultured bacterium. Its description in RNAcentral is "partial 16S ribosomal RNA". It matches the Rfam family "Bacterial small subunit ribosomal RNA", at positions 28 to 507 of the family's 1533-position model. The record is from RNAcentral.